UUUUUUUUGGUUGCCAAGUCACCCUGAGUGUUUUGUUGUUGCGGGCGUGUUGUGACAAUUUCCAUCCUCAUCAGAUUAUCAUCUCUUUUCUUCUUAAUGAAUAUAGGAAUCCUGACAUUUCGAAGAAAAGAACAUGCGGGUAUCUCGGUUCCAACCACGAACGAUAGUGCACGAGAUGGAUGCAAUGGAACAUGUACUUAGUGGUACACUUUUCUACAGUAUCGAGGUAAGGUGCUGUGUCACUUUUUACCGAGCUGCAAUCAUUCGGUCAGAUUCAUGUUCUGCAUUUCGAUGAUACCCAAUAAUGUCCUCAUCAUCUGAUGAGGAUGAGAUGACACUGUUCCGGGGACACAUCUGGUGCCAUCAUUUUCCCUGCUUUAUAAUGUGUCGGUACUGCUGCUUUAUCAUCCAUCAGUUUUGGAUCGUACAAAGUCUCAAGUCACCGGCUCCAUCUUCAGAAAUUGUGGAGCCCUGGCUUCCAGAUCUAGUUACGUUGCACUUGGUUAGAGAGUCCUCGUACCCACACAACUUUAGGAGUUCUUCAACAGCGAUGCGCAGGUAAUGGCAAUUGUAUGUCACCCAAGUACCAGGCCUGCUUUGGUUCACAGAAAUUUUAUAGGAACUGUAGAGGAUAGGAAUUUUUCCAUUUUGUUUGUUGGAAUGGAUUACUAUUUGGAUGUAGGAUAGAAACUAACCCUUCGCAUUUCAAAGAAAAAUAAAACAUUAGCCUAAACUCAAUAUAAAAGUUUCUAUCAUAUGCAUCAAAUGACAUAUCUUUCUCUGUAGGAAUUGAGAUAUUCAUAUUAUCGUCUCAUUUCCUAUGAAACAAAAAAAGGCCUGAACGUAAAAGAAAAAAAAUAGAUUAUUUUCUGCCAGGUCAGUUGCUACGCACAUGUCCACACUGGUGGGUAAAAACCAGCGUGGAUUCACCGAGCUUAGGUUGGCAAAAGAGUUUAGAACCGCAGGCCAAAGAUCCACCAUAUCAGGGCAAGCAAGCGUGACGACCUGAGAACAGUAAAAGCGUGGUGCCCUAGGGCCAGAAGGAUGUGGAAUGAGUCGACACAGCAGCCAGUAGGUGACAAUAGUUUUCCUCUUUACACAAUCACGUAUAUCAUCAUUACCCCGCAAGGACCAAUGGAACUAUACACUGAGAUUUUCCUCCAAUGGAAAAACACACUUUUCAUCAUACAACCAACCAACCAACCAACCCUCGGCCAACUUUUACCUUUUGAUGAAGAAGGCGAGCACAAACUUUUCACUAACCGGAUCCGCAUCAUCAC
RNAcentral lists this long non-coding RNA (1280 nucleotides) under Triticum aestivum (bread wheat). RNAcentral describes it as "long non-coding RNA (TAES_LNC022064)". Lineage: Eukaryota; Viridiplantae; Streptophyta; Magnoliopsida; Poales; Poaceae. The record is from RNAcentral.